UCUAUGAGGCCUGCAUCCUGCUGUGGUCGCACAGGGAGAGUGUUUCUGUCUGUAACAAAGAACCACUGUUUAACGUGUUAGCAGACCGAACUGUGUCGCAAAGCAGUUGUCUUUACGUCCUGCUCUCUCCUGAGUGUAAAACAGACUCUGAUCUCUAUCAGCUAUUUACAUAAAAUCCUGUAAAAACCUGGCGAGCGUUCUUCAGAUAACGAAAAACCUCUUUAACACAAAACAGGUUUGCGUGUUAGUGCCACAACAAAUAUUUCCCUUUGCUUUUAAUGGGCAUUUUAUUCUCAUUUUCUCUCAAGGCCGGUGUGAACUUUCUUCAUACAUUCAUCCUUCAAAACAACGCCACACUGAAUAUAUGUUGAUAGUGGCGAUCUACAGCUGUGAAGGCCGUAGAAAUUAUUAUACUGUUAUAAUAUUAUACUAUUUUCUCCUUUUAUAACAAGCAUUACACAGCUUCUGAUUACAAGCUUUUGACGGCUAAAUUUCACAGUAUAAGUGAUCCACGCCCUUUUUCCACAUUUGAUUUCCACCUAAAUUGAAGGUUACUCAGGUACAGUCACAUUACACCCAUCGUCCAAUGAGCCCAGAGAAGGGAUGUGAUGUCACGGUUCCAGUGCGGGUGAUACAUAAACAACUGAGCGGGAGUGAUUACAACUUAUCAACAGUCUGUGAGAGCGAUGCUGCAGUUUAUAUUGUGGUAUUGUGAUAAUGCAACCGAGCACAUCCUCGCCGUUAAAGGAGACCAGCGAGCGCGUCUUAGCGAAUACAGGCGCUGACGAACAAAUGAACAGAGAAGAAGUUGACACCCUGUGUCUCGUAUCAGGGAAGAAAUGAUCUUCUUUGCAGGUUAUGACACACGAUCAGGGUCCAUGCAGUAUUACUCGUGCUGACACACAGAUCUAAGACAGCAGGGACUCACCUCACUCUGAAUCACCUUGGGACUUGCUCCAGCUUCGGUUGCAGGUGUGGUCUCUCGGCUGGCAGGGACCCAGUGGAGCUGUGAAGACCUCUACUGUCUCUACCACUUGUGCCUCUAUUGCAAAUAUUUGCAGCCACCAGCUGUUUCCUGAAUUGUUUUCUGAAAUGUGCAGCACAGUAUCUUUGCCUCCCUUCUGUCCUUGACUCGUUUCUUUAUUUUUUUUCUGGCGCGCGAGAACCCCAGAAGACCCGUGAAGCAACUUAAAGAGGUGGGAAACUCUUAAAACUGUUGGCGUACACAUACCUGCGGCUUGUUUACCCUUUCUCUUUAAUUUAUUCCUCCAAAUAAAAAAUAAAAAAAUA
This is a long non-coding RNA of Seriola aureovittata, 1290 nucleotides long. RefSeq lists it as uncharacterized. Lineage: Eukaryota; Metazoa; Chordata; Actinopteri; Carangiformes; Carangidae. The transcript is spliced from 3 exons. The record is from RefSeq and is a predicted model, not a curated record.